Molecule: ribosomal RNA, 484 nt
Filed under: uncultured bacterium
Lineage: Bacteria
Description: partial 16S ribosomal RNA
Rfam family: Bacterial small subunit ribosomal RNA
Source: RNAcentral
AUUGAACGCUGGCGGCAGGCCUAACACAUGCAAGUCGAGCGGAUGAAGGGAGCUUGCUCCUGGAUUCAGCGGCGGACGGGUGGGUAAUGCCUAGGAAUCUGCCUGGUAGUGGGGGCUAACGUCCGGAAACGGGCGCUAAUACCGCAUCCGUCCUGAGGGUGAAAGUGGGGGAUCUUCGGACCUCACGCUAUCAGAUGAGCCUAGGUCGGAUUAGCUAGUUGGUGGGGUAAAGGCCUACCAAGGCGACGAUCCGUAACUGGUCUGAGAGGAUGAUCAGUCACACUGGAACUGAGACACGGUCCAGACUCCUACGGGAGGCAGCAGUGGGGAAUAUUGGGCAAUGGGCGAAAGCCUGAUCCAGCCAUGCCGCGUGUGUGAAGAAGGUCUUCGGAUUGUAAAGCUCUUUAAGUUGGGAGGAAGGGCAGUAAGUUAAUACCUUGCUGUUUUGACGUUACCAACAGAGUAAGCACCGGCUAACUUCGUG